This is a long non-coding RNA of Coffea arabica (coffee), 439 nucleotides long. RefSeq lists it as uncharacterized. Lineage: Eukaryota; Viridiplantae; Streptophyta; Magnoliopsida; Gentianales; Rubiaceae. The record is from RefSeq and is a predicted model, not a curated record.
CCAUCCUGAUAUACAUAUUGUUGUCCAAAUUGUCAAGACUGUUUGCUUGAUUGGAUCGGUUGAGAAGUACAAGGAAUUGGCCAAGUUCAAUGUGAGGCAGCUUACAUCUUCUAAAUCCUAACUUGGCAAUUCAGUUUGGUUUUAAGCGGCCUACCAGUUUCUGUUCUCAGUCAUUUUCUUUAAUGCAUUUCCUACGAUAUUUUACCAAAUUUUGUACUUUGUUAUGCUUAGUUCAUUUCAAUCUUAAACUUGUGGCUCAGCCUGAAAAAAAGAAAAGAAAAGAAAAGAAUAGAAAACGAAGAGGAUUUCAGAGGUGUUUCUGUACAACAAAUAUUCCACUUCGGAUACACAAGUAGUUCAUUCCCCCUAAAAAUCAGGUGUCGGAAAUUUUCAGACAGAAAAUCGUCAAUCCAAUUCUGUCUUCUUUGUCCAGUGGCAA